GGAUGUGAAGGCGAUCUGACUGCAACAUCUGUCACCCCAUUGAUGACCAGGGUUGAUUUGGCUGAUAUGGCUGACUAGGCAGGUGUCUUCUUCCUCCCUCACCACUCCAUGUGUGUACCUCCUGAAGCUGCACACUCAAAUAAGAGGAUGACCAUCUGGAUAGAGGAGGACAGGUUUUUGGUCAAGGAUAUACAAACAGCUGCACUCCCCUGCUAGAACCUCCAAACAAGCUCCGAAAUAACAUAAGAAUCUUAUGUUCUGGGUAGACAUGAAAUCUUGUGGUUGGGGGGGACACUGUUCAAAUCAGUACAAUCCUCAUCCAGCCCCAGAGAGUGGCCAUUCCAGUGUGG
RNAcentral lists this small nuclear RNA (350 nucleotides) under Aotus nancymaae (Ma's night monkey). RNAcentral's name for it is "7SK RNA (ENSANAG00000012358.1)". It matches the Rfam family "7SK RNA". Rfam says of the family: 7SK was discovered as an abundant small nuclear RNA in the mid-70s but a possible function has only recently been suggested. Lineage: Eukaryota; Metazoa; Chordata; Mammalia; Primates; Aotidae. The record is from RNAcentral.